RNAcentral lists this ribosomal RNA (497 nucleotides) under uncultured bacterium. RNAcentral describes it as "partial 16S ribosomal RNA". It matches the Rfam family "Bacterial small subunit ribosomal RNA", at positions 28 to 507 of the family's 1533-position model. The record is from RNAcentral.
GAUGAACGCUGGCGGCGUGCCUAAUACAUGCAAGUCGAGCGAACGGACGAGAAGCUUGCUUCUCUGAUGUUAGCGGCGGACGGGUGAGUAACACGUGGAUAACCUACCUAUAAGACUGGGAUAACUUCGGGAAACCGGAGCUAAUACCGGAUAAUAUUUUGAACCGCAUGGUUCAAAAGUGAAAGACGGUCUUGCUGUCACUUAUAGAUGGAUCCGCGCUGCAUUAGCUAGUUGGUAAGGUAACGGCUUACCAAGGCAACGAUGCAUAGCCGACCUGGGAGGGUGAUCGGCCACACUGGAACUGAGACACGGUCCAGACUCCUACGGGAGGCAGCAGUAGGGAAUCUUCCGCAAAGGGCGAAAGCCUGACGGAGCAACGCCGCGUGAGUGAUGAAGGUCUUCGGAUCGUAAAACUCUGUUAUUAGGGAAAAACAUAUGUGUAAGUAACUGUGCACAUCUUGACGGUACCUAAUCAGAAAGCCACGGCUAACUACGUG